AUCUACAUCCAUACCACCCUGAACACGCCCGAUCUCGUCUGAUCUCGGAAGCUAAGCAGGGUCGGGCCUGGUUAGUACUUGGAUGGGAGAUUUUCUUACCAUCCCGAUGGCCUUUUUAGAAA
RNAcentral lists this ribosomal RNA (122 nucleotides) under Erinaceus europaeus (western European hedgehog). Lineage: Eukaryota; Metazoa; Chordata; Mammalia; Eulipotyphla; Erinaceidae. The record is from RNAcentral.